This 402-nucleotide ribosomal RNA is filed under the name uncultured bacterium. RNAcentral's name for it is "partial 16S ribosomal RNA". It matches the Rfam family "Bacterial small subunit ribosomal RNA", at positions 28 to 526 of the family's 1533-position model. The record is from RNAcentral.
GACGAACGCUGGCGGCGUGCCUAAUACAUGCAAGUCGAACGCAGUGGGGACGGGUGAGUAACACGUGGGUAACCUCCCAUCAGAGGGGAUAACACUUGGAAACAGGUGCUAAACCGAUCCUGAUGGAUGGACCCGCGGUGCAUUAGCUAGUGGGUGAGGUAACGGCUCACAAAGGCAACGAUGCAUAGCGGACCUGGGAGGGGGAUCGGCCACACUGGAACUGAGACACGGCCCAGACUCCAAGGGGAGGCAGCAGGAGGGAAUCUUCAGCAAUGGACGAAAGUCUGACCGGGCAACGCGGCGUGAGUGAAGAAGGUUUGCGGAUCGUAAAACUCUGUUGUUAGAGAAGCGGAAUCUAACCAGAAGGCCACGGCUAACUACGUGCCAGAGCCGCGGUAAUAC